GGACUACCGGGGUUUCUAAUCCUGUUUGCUCCCCACGCUGUCGCGCCUCAGCGUCAGCUACUGCCCAGCAGGCCGCCUUCGCCACCGGUGUUCUUCCGGAUCUCUACGCAUUCCACCGCUACACCCGGAAUUCCACCUGCCUCUACAGUGCUCCAGCUCCGCAGUUCGCACGGCCGACCCGGGGUUGAGCCCCGGGCUUUCACCGCACGCUUACCGAGCCGCCUACGCGCCCUUUACGCCCAGUGAUUCCGGACAACGCUCGCACCCUCUGUAUUACCGCGGCUGCUGGCAC
This 292-nucleotide ribosomal RNA is filed under the name uncultured bacterium. RNAcentral's name for it is "partial 16S ribosomal RNA". The record is from RNAcentral.